AGUCGAGCGGAUGAGAAGAGCUUGCUCUUCGAUUCAGCGGCGGACGGGUGAGUAAUACCUAGGAAUCUGCCUGGUAGUGGGGGACAACGUUUCGAAAGGAACGCUAAUACCGCAUACGUCCUACGGGAGAAAGCAGGGGACCUUCGGGCCUUGCGCUAUCAGAUGAGCCUAGGUCGGAUUACCUAGUUGGUGAGGUAAUGGCUCACCAAGGCUACGAUCCGUAACUGGUCUGAGAGGAUGAUCCAGUCACACUGGAACUGACACACGGUCCAGACUCCUACGGGAGGCAGCAGUGGGGAAUAUUGGACAAUGGGCGAAAGCCUGAUCCAGCCAUGCCGCGUGUGUGAAGAAGGUCUUCGGAUUGUAAAGCACUUUAAGUUGGGAGGAAGG
RNAcentral lists this ribosomal RNA (390 nucleotides) under Pseudomonas sp. RNAcentral's name for it is "bacterial SSU rRNA". It matches the Rfam family "Bacterial small subunit ribosomal RNA", at positions 60 to 451 of the family's 1533-position model. Lineage: Bacteria; Pseudomonadati; Pseudomonadota; Gammaproteobacteria; Pseudomonadales; Pseudomonadaceae. The record is from RNAcentral.